CCUACGGGAGGCAGCAGUGGGGAAUAUUGGGCAAUGGGCGCAAGCCUGACCCAGCAACGCCGCGUGAAGGAAGAAGGCUUUCGGGUUGUAAACUUCUUUUAAGAGGGAAGAGCAGAAGACGGUACCUCUUGAAUAAGCCACGGCUAACUACGUGCCAGCAGCCGCGGUAAUACGUAGGUGGCAAGCGUGGUCCGGAUUUACUGGGUGUAAAGGGCGUGCAGCCGGGAAGACAAGUCAGAUGUGAAAGCCCGCGGCUCAACCGCGGAACUGCAUUUGAAACUGGUUUUCUUGAGUACCGGAGAGGAGAUCGGAAUUCCUUGUGUAGCGGUGAAAUGCGUAGAUAUAAGGAAGAACACCAGUGGCGAAGGCGGAUGACUGGACGGCAACUGACGGUGAGGCGCGAAAGCGUGGGGAGCAAACAGGAUUAGAUACCCUUGUAGUC
Molecule: ribosomal RNA, 442 nt
Filed under: uncultured bacterium
Lineage: Bacteria
Description: partial 16S ribosomal RNA
Rfam family: Bacterial small subunit ribosomal RNA
Source: RNAcentral